GGGGAUAUAGCUCAAGUGGUAGAGCACAUGCCUAGAAUGCACAAGGUCCUGGGUUCAAUCCCCAGCACCUCCU
This 73-nucleotide transfer RNA is filed under the name Camelus bactrianus (Bactrian camel). It matches the Rfam family "tRNA". Rfam says of the family: Transfer RNA (tRNA) molecules are approximately 80 nucleotides in length. Their secondary structure includes four short double-helical elements and three loops (D, anti-codon, and T loops). The record is from Rfam by way of RNAcentral. RNAcentral also lists the same sequence under 2 other names. Lineage: Eukaryota; Metazoa; Chordata; Mammalia; Artiodactyla; Camelidae.